UACGGGGGGGGCAAGCGUUGUUCGGAAUUACUGGGCGUAAAGGGCUCGUAGGCGGCCAACUAAGUCAGACGUGAAAUCCCCAGGCUUAACUUGGGAACUGCGUCUGAUACUGGAUGGCUUGAGUUCGGGAGAGGGAUGCGGAAUUCCAGGUGUAGCGGUGAAAUGCGUAGAUAUCUGGAGGAACACCGGUGGCGAAGGCGGCAUCCUGGACCGACACUGACACUGAGGAGCGAAAGCCAGGGGAGCAAACGGG
This 253-nucleotide ribosomal RNA is filed under the name uncultured bacterium. RNAcentral's name for it is "partial 16S ribosomal RNA". It matches the Rfam family "Bacterial small subunit ribosomal RNA", at positions 524 to 776 of the family's 1533-position model. The record is from RNAcentral.